RNAcentral lists this ribosomal RNA (253 nucleotides) under uncultured bacterium. RNAcentral's name for it is "partial 16S ribosomal RNA". It matches the Rfam family "Bacterial small subunit ribosomal RNA", at positions 524 to 776 of the family's 1533-position model. The record is from RNAcentral.
AACGUAGGGGGCAAGCGUUGUUCGGAAUUACUGGGCGUAAAGCGCGUGUAGGCGACUUGGUAAGUCGGAAGUGAAAGCCCUCGGCUCAACCGGGGAACUGCUUUCGAAACUGCCAGGCUUGAAUGCGGGAGGGGAGAGCGGAAUUCCCGGUGUAGCGGUGAAAUGCGUAGAUAUCGGGAAGAACACCGGUGGCGAAGGCGGCUCUCUGGACCGUGAUUGACGCUGAGACGCGAAAGCGUGGGGAGCAAACAGG